This 1187-nucleotide long non-coding RNA is filed under the name Heterocephalus glaber (naked mole-rat). RNAcentral describes it as "lncRNA (ENSHGLG00000036398.1)". Lineage: Eukaryota; Metazoa; Chordata; Mammalia; Rodentia; Bathyergidae. The record is from RNAcentral.
GGGGUGAGGGCGAGCCUGGGGGGUGUGCCAUGCACCUCUGAUGUCAGAGCCGGGUCUUGCAUGGUCCCUUUGCUGGGUUUUGGCCCCUCCUUCCUCUUGUCUGGCUCUGACCAGCAGCGGCCCAGGCAGGUGGUCCUGGCCUCUGUGCUGGGUGACACUGAGAACAGACAGAGUUGGACCUGGGCUGUUCAAGGGAUAAAUAGGGUGUCAGAGAGAGGAAAAGAGGUUGAAGGGGAGCUGUUCCUGGAAAAGUCAGAGAGCGUCUUAGAGGAGGGGACUUGUGAGUGGGGUACUGAUGUAUGAAUAGAAGUUCCCAGGAUGAGACAGGAAUACAUUCAUUCACUGAUUUGUACACAAGCAUGUGCUGGGCUUGUGAGGUUGGUUGUGAUUAUCUGCUCAUCCAUUCAUUCGCCCAUUCACUUUGAUUGGGAGAGUGGCGUGUGUAAGAAUUACCCCAGCCAGCCAUGCUCUGGCCUGUAAAUAUGAGUGGAGACCCAGUCCCUGCCCCGGUGUAGCUCGGAUCCAGGCUCAGAGGCGCUGUGUACAAGGAGCGGGGACACCUGACCCAGCCUGGAGGGGCGCCCGGCCUGGGCCACUGCAUUGCAGGUGACUUGUGCUUGGGCCGGGCCGGGCUCUGGCUGCUGCUGCUGCUGCCGGGCUCAGUGGCCCAGGCCUGAGGGUCACCAUGGACCAGGCCGCCCAGGGGACCCCACCUAACGCCACAGCCAGCAGCCGUGGCCAGGACACCAGGCCCUGGGGGACAUCGGGGGACAUGGAGGUGCCACUGGGACCCCUGGAGCUCCGCCUCUGGGGUGUGGAGAACCCGCCUUCAGCCCUUCGAGACGGAGGACGCCAGGGAAGGGAUUUACAGGGACGGCAGCGAUGACCUCACCAUGGGUUCCAGCAGACCCCAGAGGUCAGACACUGCCCUUCGAUGAGUGGGCCUUGCUGGUGCAUUCCUGUGAUCCCAGGACUCGGGAGGCUGAGGCGGGAGGAUCGUCAUGAGUUUGAGGCUGGCCUGGACUCAAGGCAUGAGAACCCUUCCCACAGAUCCCGACUUGCCCAAGUAAUGAGAAUUCAUGGGAGCUACAAAAGCAGGACUGAAACUGGAAUUGACCAGGACCUGGCCCACUGCAGCUGAUCCUUAAAAGUCACACUGGCUCUGUGGGUGAGCAGUUUGAACCUUG